RNAcentral lists this ribosomal RNA (253 nucleotides) under uncultured bacterium. Its description in RNAcentral is "partial 16S ribosomal RNA". It matches the Rfam family "Bacterial small subunit ribosomal RNA", at positions 524 to 776 of the family's 1533-position model. The record is from RNAcentral.
UACGAGUGCCUCAAGCGUUAUCCGGAAUCAUUGGGCGUAAAGGUUGUGUAGGUGGUUGUAUUAGUCUUCUGUUAAAUUCUUCGGCUUAACCGGGGGCAUGCAGGGGAAACGGUACAACUAGAGGAUGCGAGGGGUCUGUGGAAUUCAUAGUGUAGCGGUAAAGUGCGUUGAUAUUAUGGAGAACACCAAAAGCGAAGGCAGCAGACUGGAGCACUCCUGACACUGAAACAAGAAAGCGUGGGUCGCGAAUGGG